ACGUACACUCCUGCGGGAGGCAGCAGUGGGGAAUAUUGCACAAUGGGCGCAAGCCUGAUGCAGCCAUGCCGCGUGUAUGAAGAAGGCCUUCGGGUUGUAAAGUACUUUCAGCGGGGAGGAAGGCGAUAAGGUUAAUAACCUUGUCGAUUGACGUUACCCGCAGAAGAAGCACCGGCUAACUCCGUGCCAGCAGCCGCGGUAAUACGGAGGGUGCAAGCGUUAAUCGGAAUUACUGGGCGUAAAGCGCACGCAGGCGGUCUGUCAAGUCGGAUGUGAAAUCCCCGGGCUCAACCUGGGAACUGCAUUCGAAACUGGCGGGCUAGAGUCUUGUAGAGGGGGGUAGAAUUCCAGGUGUAGCGGUGAAAUGCGUAGAGAUCUGGAGGAAUACCGGUGGCGAAGGCGGCCCCCUGGACAAAGACUGACGCUCAGGUGCGAAAGCGUGGGGAGCAAACAGGAUUAGAUACCCGAGUAGUCCCAUGAU
RNAcentral lists this ribosomal RNA (481 nucleotides) under uncultured organism. Its description in RNAcentral is "partial 16S ribosomal RNA". It matches the Rfam family "Bacterial small subunit ribosomal RNA", at positions 329 to 801 of the family's 1533-position model. The record is from RNAcentral.